Molecule: ribosomal RNA, 468 nt
Filed under: uncultured bacterium
Lineage: Bacteria
Description: partial 16S ribosomal RNA
Rfam family: Bacterial small subunit ribosomal RNA
Source: RNAcentral
GACGAACGCUGGCGGCGUGCUUAACACAUGCAAGUCGAACGGAAAGGCCCUGCUUUUGUGGGGUGCUCGAGUGGCGAACGGGUGAGUAACACGUGAGUAACCUGCCCUUGACUUUGGGAUAACUUCAGGAAACUGGGGCUAAUACCGGAUAGGAGCUCCUGCUGCAUGGUGGGGGUUGGAAAGUUUCGGCGGUUGGGGAUGGACUCGCGGCUUAUCAGCUUGUUGGUGGGGUAGUGGCUUACCAAGGCUUUGACGGGUAGCCGGCCUGAGAGGGUGACCGGCGACAUGGGGACUGAGAUACGGCGCAGACUCCUACGGGAGGCAGCAGGGGGGAAUAUGGCACAAUGGGCGGAAGCCUGAUGCAGCAACGCCGCGUGCGGGAUGACGGCCUUCGGGUUGUAAACCGCUUUCGCCUGUGACGAAGCGUGAGUGACGGUAAUGGGUAAAGAAGCACCGGCUAACUACGUG